GGACAUAUAGCUCAGUCUGGUUAGAGCAUCCCGUUCAUAUUGGGAAGGUCGGUGGUUCGAAUCCACCUAUGUCUACCA
This 78-nucleotide transfer RNA is filed under the name Chloroflexota bacterium. RNAcentral describes it as "tRNA-Met". It matches the Rfam family "tRNA". From Rfam's summary of the family: Transfer RNA (tRNA) molecules are approximately 80 nucleotides in length. Their secondary structure includes four short double-helical elements and three loops (D, anti-codon, and T loops). Lineage: Bacteria; Bacillati; Chloroflexota. The record is from RNAcentral.